GACAGGUUGGACUGGCACAGGUAGGACUGGCAGAGGUUGGGUUGGCACAGGUUGGGUUGGAUAAUUUGGACUGGCACAGGUUGGAUUGGGACAGGUUGGACUGGCACAGGUUGGACUGGCACAGUUUNGGUUGGAUAAUUUGGACUGGCACAGGUAGGACUGGCACAGGUUGGGUUGGCACAGGUUGGGUUGGCACAGGUUGGAUUGGGACAGGUUGGACUGGCACAGGUAGGACUGGCACAGGUUGGACUGGCACAGGUUGGGUUGGAUAAUUUGGACUGGCACAGGUAGGACUGGCACAGGUUGGGUUGGCACAGGUUGGGUUGGCACAGGUUGGAUUGGCACAGGUUGAGUUGGCACAGGUUGGACUGGCACAGGUUGGACUGGCACAGGUUGGGUUGGCACAGGUUGGGUUGGCACAGGUUGGAUUGGGACAGGUUGGACUGGCACAGGUAGGACUGGCACAGGUUGGACUGGCACAGGUAGGGUUGGAUAAUUUGGACUGGCAGAGUUUGGGUUGGCACAGGUUGAGUUGGAUAAUUUGGACUGGCACAGGUUGGGUUGGCACAGAUUGGACGGGCUGAGCUGCCCCCAGGACCUUUGGGUGGGACCCACCCAGAGCUGCCCCCAGGGACCUUCGGGUGGGACCUUUGGGACCCAGGACCUUUGGGUGGGACCCGCCCUGGUCCCGAGGGUCUCCCAGGGCCCUUUGUGCUGAGUCAGCGAGAUUUUGGGAUGUUGG
This is a long non-coding RNA of Lepidothrix coronata (blue-crowned manakin), 742 nucleotides long. RefSeq lists it as uncharacterized. The transcript has 4 exons. NCBI's taxonomy places the organism in Eukaryota, Metazoa, Chordata, Aves, Passeriformes, Pipridae. The record is from RefSeq and is a predicted model, not a curated record.